UUGGUUUCAUGGUUAGCUCUCUCUCUCUCUCUCUCUCCCCUCACUCAAAUCAACUGUUUCAGAAGAAGAUGGAUAUAUCAUUUUCUUCAGCUUUCUAAUACUUCCUUUCUUCUAUAAACAGGUAUUAAGCUUGCAUGAAACAACUGCUGCAUAUGUCAGUGUGUAGUAAAUUGGCACCAUUUUGCUUAUAGUAUUGAUCCUCCUCAACUGCAUAAUUAAACCAGCAAGAUCUGCCAUGUCUAAAGCUCGAAAGGAACAGUGAGGCAGAAACUCAUCGUUUGACAUCGAAUCAGAAGAUUAGCAAAUGACGAGCACUUGCCUCAGCUGUUAAUUUGUGAGGAAGGGAACCAGCUGCUGGUGCAGGUGAUGAUGGCGGUGGCGGUGUUGAAGGAGAAUAGCGAGAGAAGGAGGCGAGAGAGAUGGCAGAUUUGACAAUCGUUCCGAAGAUGCUAACCAAAGUUGGAUUAGCUAACAUUCUGGGGGUCCCAUCGUUUAUUAUAUUUUAUGUUAAUUUUGAGUGAAUAUGUGAUGAGGAUACAAUUAUAACACAAAUUUAAAAUUAAAAUGUUUGGAGUUUAAAUUUAUU
Molecule: long non-coding RNA, 586 nt
Filed under: Jatropha curcas
Lineage: Eukaryota; Viridiplantae; Streptophyta; Magnoliopsida; Malpighiales; Euphorbiaceae
Description: long non-coding RNA (JCUR_LNC001602)
Source: RNAcentral